Molecule: ribosomal RNA, 255 nt
Filed under: uncultured bacterium
Lineage: Bacteria
Description: partial 16S ribosomal RNA
Rfam family: Bacterial small subunit ribosomal RNA
Source: RNAcentral
GACGAACCGUGCGAACGUUAUUCGGAAUCACUGGGCUUAAAGCGCGUGUAGGCGGAUGGGGACGUCGGUCGCUGAAAUCCCCCGGCUCAACCGGGGAACGGGCGCCGAAACGCCCCGUCUGGAGGGACGUAGGGGGACCUGGAACUUCCGGUGGAGCGGUGAAAUGCGUUGAGAUCGGAAGGAACGCCCGUGGCGAAAGCGAGGUCCUGGACGUCUUCUGACGCUGAGACGCGAAAAGCUAGGGGAGCGAACGGG